AGAGUUUGAUCCUGGCUCAGAUUGAACGCUGGCGGCAUGCUUUACACAUGCAAGUCGGACGGCAGCACAGAGAAGCUUGCUUCUUGGGUGGCGAGUGGCGAACGGGUGAGUAAUAUAUCGGAACGUACCGAGUAGUGGGGGAUAACUGAUCGAAAGAUCAGCUAAUACCGCAUACGUCUUGAGAGGGAAAGCAGGGGACCUUCGGGCCUUGCGCUAUUCGAGCGGCCGAUAUCUGAUUAGCUAGUUGGUGGGGUAAAGGCCUACCAAGGCGACGAUCAGUAGCGGGUCUGAGAGGAUGAUCCGCCACACUGGGACUGAGACACGGCCCAGACUCCUACGGGAGGCAGCAGUGGGGAAUUUUGGACAAUGGGCGCAAGCCUGAUCCAGCCAUGCCGCGUGUCUGAAGAAGGCCUUCGGGUUGUAAAGGACUUUUGUCAGGGAAGAAAAGGCUGUUGCUAAUAUCAGCGGCUGAUGACGGUACCUGAAGAAUAAGCACCGGCUAACUACGUGCCAGCAGCCGCGGUAAUACGUAGGGUGCGAGCGUUAAUCGGAAUUACUGGGCGUAAAGCGAGCGCAGACGGUUACUUAAGCAGGAUGUGAAAUCCCCGGGCUCAACCUGGGAACUGCGUUCUGAACUGGGUGACUAGAGUGUGUCAGAGGGAGGUAGAAUUCCACGUGUAGCAGUGAAAUGCGUAGAGAUGUGGAGGAAUACCGAUGGCGAAGGCAGCCUCCUGGGAUAACACUGACGUUCAUGCUCGAAAGCGUGGGUAGCAAACAGGAUUAGAUACCCUGGUAGUCCACGCCCUAACGAUGUCAAUUAGCUGUUGGGCAACUUGAUUGUUCAGUAGCGUAGCUAGCGCGUGAAAUUGACCGCCUGGGGAGUACGGUCGCAAGAUUAAAACUCAAGGAAUUGACGGGGACCCGCACAGCGGUGGAUGAUGUGGAUUAAUUCG
Molecule: ribosomal RNA, 953 nt
Filed under: uncultured bacterium
Lineage: Bacteria
Description: bacterial SSU rRNA
Rfam family: Bacterial small subunit ribosomal RNA
Source: RNAcentral